UUCUAUAACUGGAGCAUUCUGUUGGGUCGCCUUUCUUUGGAAUGGGCACCAAUAUGGGUCUCGUCCAGCCACUUGGCCAAGUACCUCUUUUCCAGAUGUCCUGCCGCAGACAAGUGAGUGCUUCCAGCGCUUCAUUGCUUGCCAAACAUUUCGAUUGGUGUUCCAUCCAUGCCUGGCACCUGUUGUUGAGCUACUAUUUUCAGUGCAGCUUAGACGCCUUCCUUCAGUAGCAUUGGCCCUGAUCAUGUGCACCCUCCUGACGUGGUGGCCUGAAGAUAGUUCUUCCUGGCGCAGCGACUGCGCAUUCUUUCCAUCACCCUUUGGUUCACUUAACCUGGGCACCGUCGAGAGGAAGGGCACUGCAUUCGUUAUCAGAAAGGGCAUUUCAAGGUCUAUCUUGAGAACAACGCUGCCUGUGAUAGGAUUGUGGCUCUCUGCACACCAGGAAAUCCAGUCAGAACAAUAAUUAUUCAAAUUUAUGUACCACCCACUAAAGUUAGUAAUGCAGACACUGAAGAAAUCUACCAAUGUCUUUGAUCUGAAAUUGGUCAGACAUGAAAUCAAAUGCAUUGAUGAUUAUUGGUGAUUGGAAUGCAAACGUUGGAAACAAGGAAGGAAGGGUAGUUAGAAAACAUGGGCUUGGCAUAGAAACGGAGCUGAAGAUCACAUGGCAGAAUCUCACAGAACCAACAACUCGUUCAUAGCAAAUACCUUUUCUCAACAACACAAGAGGACUUCUCCAGAAGGGUGACACAGAAAUGUGGGAAGAGACGACGGGGAAGCGCAAGGUCAGCCGCUAAAACCUGGCCAGGGGCCGGUGGUGGAGCAGACCCUCCAUCGCUCAGCGGUUCGCAGGAGCAUGUGCGGCUAUGAAUAGAGCUGACAGUGGAGGCACGGAAGCUCGGAGGAGAGAAGGAAGUGAGUCGCAGUGUCGCGGCAGCGCGCUCACCUCUGCGAUGGCCAUCACUCAGCAGCCGGUCCACGCAGAGCAGGAGGACGGGCAGGAAGGAGAGUGUCUCCGCUUUAUUUCUGACCACGGCCAUAGAGUCCUCGGGGUGUGAUUACAGAGCUGUGGGAUGACGUCAAGAAUAUCCCCCAUGAAGGAUCAAAAGGUCACUAGAGAGAGGAAAGAGGAAAAGACAAAGUACAGCUCAGAAGAGACCCUGCAACCUGCCCCAGGUCACGGAGCAGCUAGGGACAUGGAGAACGGAUGACGACGUCUGUGUGAGUCUGGGUACUUUGGAGAAAUAAAUCCACAGAGGCUCAUGUAUAAGAGAGA
This is a long non-coding RNA of Echinops telfairi (small Madagascar hedgehog), 1279 nucleotides long. RefSeq lists it as uncharacterized. The transcript has 3 exons. The record is from RefSeq and is a predicted model, not a curated record. Lineage: Eukaryota; Metazoa; Chordata; Mammalia; Afrosoricida; Tenrecidae.